Molecule: long non-coding RNA, 962 nt
Filed under: Marmota monax (woodchuck)
Lineage: Eukaryota; Metazoa; Chordata; Mammalia; Rodentia; Sciuridae
Source: RNAcentral
GAGGAGUUGAAAGUGUAUUUUAAGGGUAGGAAGUGUAGUUGGGUUAGGAAUUUUAUUUUGUUGUAUGAUAGCCCACCAAUUCUCCUCCUUGCUCCCUUCCACAAACCUACCCCCAAAAUAAACCCAAAAAGCCCUGAUCUAUAAUGUUUGCCCAUUCCCAUUCCUCUGGUGUGAAUAUUCCCACCAUGGCCGAUUAUAAGGUACUACUGAUUUAAGAAUUCUUCUGUAAAAAUCUUGAACAUUUAUCAGUUGACAAGAUACAGAUCUGGCUGGCAUAACCACUACAGCAACAAUUCUGUAAUUCUCAAAUAAAUAAUAGAACCAAUAAAUCAUGUAGGUACUACAAGGAGGAAGAUAAGAGCUGGGAUGUAGUUCAGUGGUAAAGCAGUUGCCUAGAAUGUAUGAGGCCCUGUAUUCAAUCCCCAGUACCACCACUAAAAAGAAAAAGAAAAAAAAAAAAGAGGAAGAAGAAAAAAAGAUCUUGACAAUUAGCCUAGACAGGAAAUGCUGAAUGAGACCUUAGGAGGAAUUUAGACCUCAAAGCCUUGGCCUAACUGAGAUAUUUGGGACAUUAAUUUUAAGUCAACAGGCAGUGUUUGAACAAAGAUGGACAUAGGAUAUUUUGGCAAAUGCAGUUUUCCUAGGAAGAUUAAUCUGCUAAUAAAUUGAAUAAUGAGUAGCACUGAGACUCCAAAGUAGACUAAUUUGCAAAUAAGACCUGGCUUGUAUAAGUGAGAGUAUUUCAACUCGGCAGCAGUUUUGGAAUUUUAUAGCUCCUGGGUUGAGAAAUGGAAUCCCAGAAUGUUGGGUACAGGUACCAGGAAACCAAAGAAAUAAUAAGGACUAAAUAUAGGGAAAUUAAGUUCAGAUGAAGGAGUUGACACAUAAAGCCACUGUGUACUGUAAAGUAUUUUUAUUGGUAUUUAGUCUUACCAUUAUUGUUGCUAAUGAUUAUAUUGAAU